GGAAUUCAGAACACAAAAGACAGAAACAAGCUGAAAAUAAACAUGAGAUUGCAUUGCUCAAAUAUACAAUAACUGGACAGACAGACCAAGUAGCCAAGUGAUGACGUUUAGCAACAAUAAAUGCAACUUCAAUCAGAAAACUCACAUGAUAAUUCGAUGAUAAAGAAAUAAAAGUUCAUCCCAAUGCUACAUAAACCUAAUAACAGUAGUAGCUACUAGUAAUUAAGAAAAACUGUCAUUUCCAUUUCUUGAACUUCAUAAGCUUUCCCCCGUGCUUCCCAAACAUGCCAUGAUGCUUCCAACGCUUUCCAAACUUCCCAUGCUUAAACUUUCCAUGAUGGCCAAAAAAUCCACCGUGAUGGUGGUAUGCACCGUGCGCCAGAUGGUGCACCCCAUAAGCAGCGGCAGCGGCAGCGGCAGCACCCCCGGCUAGAAUUGCCCCCAUACCAGAUCCAUGAUCUGUAAGAAUUGUAUACACCAAGAACUAUUCAAUAUUAAACAAUAAACCAGUAGAAGACUGAUAGGUACCUGAUGUGUAAUGU
RNAcentral lists this long non-coding RNA (542 nucleotides) under Olea europaea (common olive). Its description in RNAcentral is "long non-coding RNA (OEUR_LNC013790)". The record is from RNAcentral. Lineage: Eukaryota; Viridiplantae; Streptophyta; Magnoliopsida; Lamiales; Oleaceae.